RNAcentral lists this ribosomal RNA (440 nucleotides) under uncultured bacterium. RNAcentral describes it as "partial 16S ribosomal RNA". It matches the Rfam family "Bacterial small subunit ribosomal RNA", at positions 338 to 795 of the family's 1533-position model. The record is from RNAcentral.
CCUACGGGUGGCAGCAGUGGGGAAUAUUGCACAAUGGGGGAAACCCUGAUGCAGCGACGCCGCGUGAGUGAAGAAGUAUUUCGGUACGUAAAGCUCUAUCAGCAGGGAAGAAAAUGACGGUACCUGACUAAGAAGCCCCGGCUAACUACGUGCCAGCAGCCGCGGUAAUACGUAGGGGGCAAGCGUUAUCCGGAUUUACUGGGGGUCAAGGGAGCGUAGACGGCAGCGCAAGUCGGGAGUGCAAUCCCCUGGCUUAACCCUGGAACUGCUUUGGAAACUGUGCAGCUGGAGUGCAGGAGAGGUCAGCGGACUUCCUAGUGUAGCGGUGAACUGCGUCGAUAUUAGGAGGAACACCAGUGGCGACGGCGGCUUACUGGACUGUACCUGACGUUGAGGCUCGACAGCGUGGGGAGCAAACAGGAUUAGCUACCCUGGUAGUC